RNAcentral lists this long non-coding RNA (549 nucleotides) under Cyanistes caeruleus (blue tit). RNAcentral's name for it is "lncRNA (ENSCCEG00000012542.1)". The record is from RNAcentral. Lineage: Eukaryota; Metazoa; Chordata; Aves; Passeriformes; Paridae.
CAGCUCCCCGUGCAGACCCCGCCCCGCGCCUGCGCAGUGCCGGAACCGCCGCUUUCCCGCGCGGGUGAGGAGUCGGGUCUGUGGGGGGAUUGGCAGCGCUGGGUACCCGCUGCUCAGCAGGGACCUUUCCGUGCUUCUGUGCGGGCUUUGGGCCCCGUGGGGAACGAGCCUCCCGUUGAAGGAUGAGAAGUAGUAAGGAGCCGUUUUUUGUGAAGUUCAUAAAGUCUUCCGGGAGUUCGGAGUAUUUUUCUAAAGCUCUUGAGUCUAUAAAAGAAUUCCAGUCAGAAGAGCAUCUCCAGAUCCUUGAAGAAGCAUCAGUACUCAAUAUAAAAGAAAGUGGACUUCAUCCUGUAUUUAGGGAAGAGAGUAACCAGCAAAGCAUAAUGAUUAUUUUCAGUAAUUUGGAAAAGCAAACAGUAUGGUCAGUUCUGAUUCUGCUGGAGUGCCUGAGCUGGUUCUUACACUAUUUAUCUCCUGAUAAACAUGAUUUGGUUUGAAUCUGCAAGGAGUAGUCUAGUGGACAAAGAUAGGCUAGCUGGAAUUCCUGGC